AUCGAUGAAGAUGACGGCGAAAUGCGAUAAGUAAUGUGAAUUGCAGAAUUCAGUGAAUCAUCGAAUCUUUGAACGCACCUUGCGCUCCUUGGUAUUCCGAGGAGCAUGCCUGUUUGAGUGUCAUUAAAUUCUCAACCUUUCCAGCUUUUAACGGCGGGACAAGGCUUGGAUGUGGGGGCUGCGGGCUUCUCAGAAGUCGGCUCUCCUUAAAUGUAUUAGCGAAACCUUUGCUGACCAUCUUUGGUGUGAUAAUUAUCUACGCCACUGGGAAGCAGCUUUAACAUGGGGUUUGGCUUCUAAUCGUCCGUCACUGGACAACUUUUUGACAUUUUGACCUCAAAUCAGGUAGGACUACCCGCUGAACUUAAGCAUAUCAAUAAGCGGAGGAAAAGAAACUAACAAGGAUUCCCCUAGUAACUGCGAGUGAAGCGGGAAAAGCUCAAAUUUAAAAUCUGGUGGUCCUUGUGGCCGUCCGAGUUGUAAUCUAGAGAAGCGUUAUCCGCGCCGGACCGUGUACAAGUCUCCUGGAACGGAGCGUCAUAGAGGGUGAGAAUCCCGUCUUUGACACGGACUACCGGGGCUUUGUGAUGCGCUCUCAAAGAGUCGAGUUGUUUGGGAAUGCAGCUCUAAAUGGGUGGUAAAUUCCAUCUAAAGCUAAAUAUUGGCGAGAGACCGAUAGCGAACAAGUACCGUGAGGGAAAGAUGAAAAGAACUUUGGAAAGAGAGUUAAACAGUACGUGAAAUUGUUGAAAGGGAAACGCUUGAAGUCAGUCGCGUUGGCCGGGGAUCAACCUUGCUCUUUUGCUUGGCGUACUUUCCGGUCGACGGGUCAGCAUCAAUUUUGACCGGUGGAUAAAGGUCAGGGGAAUGUGGCAUCUUCGGAUGUGUUAUAGCCCUUGGUCGCAUGCAUCGAUUGGGAUUGAGGAACUCAGCACGCCGCAAGGCCGGGUUUUUAACCACGUACGUGCUUAGGAUGCUGGCAUAAUGGCUUUAAUCGACCCGUCUUGAAACACGG
RNAcentral lists this ribosomal RNA (1015 nucleotides) under uncultured fungus. Its description in RNAcentral is "eukaryotic LSU rRNA". The stretch from base 332 to 1015 matches the Rfam family "Eukaryotic large subunit ribosomal RNA", at positions 1 to 664 of the family's 3401-position model. The record is from RNAcentral. Lineage: Eukaryota; Fungi.